GGAGAAUUCUGGGAAAUGGAAGGUUGAGUCAGGAGAUGCUGCCAGCUGCUGCCACCAUGAGAACAAGACUUGGAACCGAAGGGGGUGCAAGGAAGGCACGUUCUAUGUUUAACACUACCUACUAGUAGCCUGUUGCACAUAGGAGGCACUGGAAAAAAAUGCUCUUACAUGUGGAAUACAUUUUGCAGUUUUAUGACUUACCCUAUCAGAAUUGAGGAACACCUGUAUAAGUUUCCAGCUCUGAAACCUAAGCUCCAUGAAGAAAGCUGGAUAAAGUACAUCUGGCCAUGAUGAGCACCACUGGAGGGGAUGCUGCCAACAUCCCAGGAGAGGUCCAUGACUCCAGAAAGCACUCAAUCCUCAGUGGCAGCCUCUCCCACGCGGUAGAUAUGCCAUCUUCACGGGAGCUGCCUAACAUUGCCUCAAAAAAACAUCUCCAGUUAGACACCAAAGCAGGAGCCCAGCAGCCUCCCGGCCAUUUACAUUUCUGAUGAGGGUGUUCACUACAUACUUUUCAAAGAGCUUUGCAGAGAGUAUGAGGGAAAAUUCUUUGAAGGAAGCAGAAGGCACCCAGGCCUGGUACUUGUCCUAGUCUGCCCAUACCAUAUCAGUGAGAUCCUAAUAGUUACAGUUUAUAUAUUAUUCAUUUCAUUUGUCUAAAAAAUUUAUUGGGUGUGCUUACAUGUAUACACCAUGACAUACACGUGGUUUCAGAGACUUGCAGGAGUUAGUCUCUCUUUCUGCCACGUGGGUUCUGGGCAGCAAACUCAGGUCAUUGGCCUUGAUGGCCAGUGCCUUUACCCCUGAGCCAUCUCACUGGCCCUUAUCUCCUGUUUUCAAAUCCUGUUAUACAUUAAGGAAUUUUGCCUACUAUAGCUCUUGGGAAUUUAAAAAUUAUCUUCCUGCUCCUUUUCUUAUUACGGUCUUAGAAAGCUAAGGAAGAUGGCUGUUUCAGAAAUCCUUCUAAAUGCCUGCUUUUGCUCAUUCUUGCCUUCUAUGUCUCUGGUAAACGAUCAUCAGAGGCUCUCUUUGGCUUUGAAAUAAGCAGCGUUCUAGAAAGCAGGCAUCUGACACCAAAGUUCCAUCUGCCCGUUGCUAUUUACCCACUCGGCAUCCCUGGGCAACCAAUCAGGGACUAUUCAUCCCUUCGCAAGAGAAAAGAGACAAGACACCCAGGUGGGUGCUGCCUUUCUCCCCUUUAGAGGCAGGUGGCUCCCGUUAGUCCCAUCAGAUUUUCUUCUGGUUUACAAUCAGGGGGAUCAGAACAGCAGAGAAGACUGAAAAUAAAGUAAGCUCUCAGACAAAAACCAGAGGCAGGUGAUGUGUUCCUCACUGGCACGCCUUCACCACGGGAGCAACAAACAGAUACGCAGGCUUGUGCAGUGCGUCUCGUGGCAGUACACUGGGCAAUGGACUCAUACUCCUCUCCCUACUCUCUGUGAGGGCAGCCGGCCUCUGGGUAUGGUGGCUUCAUUCGGAGCUGGGCUUUAGCUUGUUAGAUCCAUUUGCCAUGUCAGAUUCAUUUCCUCUUUUCCUGUGUGAACAAUAAACCACGCAUUCAAAACAGA
This is a long non-coding RNA of Peromyscus eremicus (cactus mouse), 1568 nucleotides long. RefSeq lists it as uncharacterized. Lineage: Eukaryota; Metazoa; Chordata; Mammalia; Rodentia; Cricetidae. The record is from RefSeq and is a predicted model, not a curated record. The transcript has 3 exons.